Molecule: ribosomal RNA, 497 nt
Filed under: uncultured bacterium
Lineage: Bacteria
Description: partial 16S ribosomal RNA
Rfam family: Bacterial small subunit ribosomal RNA
Source: RNAcentral
GAUGAACGCUGGCGGCGUGCUUAAUACAUGCAAGUCGAGCGAAAAGACGAUGAGCUUGCUCCUCUCACGUUAGCGGCGGACGUGUGUGUAACACGUGGAUACCCUACCUAUCAUUCUGGGAUAACUUCGGGACACCGGCGCUAAUACCGGAUAAUCUCUUGAAGCGCAUUGUUCAAUAGUGAAAGACGGUUUUGCUGUCACUUCUAGAUGGUUCCCGGCCGGAUGAGCUAGUUGUUAAGUUAACGGCUUACCACGGCGACGAUGCGUAGCCGACCUACGAGGGUGAUCGGCGACACUGGAACUUGAACACGGACCAGGCGCCUGCGGGAGGCAGCAGAAUGGAAUCGGCCGCAGUGGGCGAAAGCCUGACGGAGCAGCGCCGCGUGAGAUGUGGGAGUCUUCGGAGCGGAAUACUGGGUUAUUGGGUAAGAACAAAUUUGUAAGGAACUGUGCACGGCGUGACGGUACCUAAUCAGAAAGCCACGGCUAACUACGUG